Molecule: ribosomal RNA, 372 nt
Filed under: uncultured organism
Description: bacterial SSU rRNA
Rfam family: Bacterial small subunit ribosomal RNA
Source: RNAcentral
CAGAGACUGCAAGCGUUAUUCGGAUUCACUGGGCGUAAAGGGUGCGCAGGCGGUCGUGUGUGUCAGAUGUGAAAUCCCGGAGCUUAACUCCGGAACUGCGUCUGAAACUACAUGACUAGAGCAUUGGAGAGGGAAGUGGAAUUCAUGGUGUAGCAGUGAAAUGCGUAGAUAUCAUGAGGAACACCAGAGGCGAAGGCGACUUCCUGGACAAUUGCUGACGCUCAGGCACGAAAGCAUGGGGAGCAAAGGGGAUUAGAUACCCCUGUAGUCCAUGCCCUAAACGGUGCACACUAGGUCUUGGAGGAUUCGACCCCUUCAGGGCCCAAGCUAACGCGUUAAGUGUGCCGCCUGAGGACUACGGUCGCAAGACUA